Lucilia sericata (common green bottle fly) is the source of this 453-nucleotide long non-coding RNA. RefSeq lists it as uncharacterized. The transcript has 2 exons. The record is from RefSeq and is a predicted model, not a curated record. Lineage: Eukaryota; Metazoa; Arthropoda; Insecta; Diptera; Calliphoridae.
UACAGUAAUAGAUUUAAAAACAUUUUAAUAAAUUGUACUUGAUAGGUGUAACUAUUUUAAUCUGAUGGGGGCAUAGCCGAAAACCUGUUAUAUGUUAUUAUAGUACUUCUUGGAAAUUAAAAAACGUUUUCGUUUAACAUAUUGUAAAAUCUUAGUAUAAAUACUAGUUUCACUUCAGAUUUCAGUAUCAUUCAACAAGAUGAAAUUGUACGCUUUCUUUGGACUUGCUUUGGCCUUAUUAGCUGUAGCUUUGGGAAACCCUAAUCCUGAACCUCAACCCAAUCCUCUACCAUUAGGAGGUGGUGGUGGCGGAGGCGGCGGCGGUGGUGGCAAGUAAAGUCUCAGCAUAUCCUGCCAUGAUAUGAUAGUUAUGAUUGCUCGAUUAAAAAAAUAAAAAAAAAUAUAUAUAAAAAACUAUUAAUUUUUUUUACUCUGGAAAAAUACGUAAAAAAU